UGCAAGAUUAGACUAAAGAAAAAAGCAAUUGUAAAACUUGAUUUGAUUCGAAAAUUUUUAAAAAAAAAAUUAAAUUUCUAGUUCGAAUCGAGUUUAAUUGUCGAAUUCGAAUAACUCGAAUAAAUCAAAUAUCAAACUAUAAUAUUUUACAUUUUUUCUCCAAACCUCCAAACAUCUUUACUUCCCCCCAAAACUUUUACUCCCCUCCCAUCUGACCCCCCAUCUAUCCUAAACCCAUUUU
This 241-nucleotide long non-coding RNA is filed under the name Gossypium raimondii (Peruvian cotton). Its description in RNAcentral is "long non-coding RNA (GRAI_LNC006196)". Lineage: Eukaryota; Viridiplantae; Streptophyta; Magnoliopsida; Malvales; Malvaceae. The record is from RNAcentral.